This 357-nucleotide ribosomal RNA is filed under the name uncultured fungus. RNAcentral describes it as "SSU rRNA". It matches the Rfam family "Eukaryotic small subunit ribosomal RNA", at positions 20 to 371 of the family's 1831-position model. The record is from RNAcentral. Lineage: Eukaryota; Fungi.
GUAGUCAUAUGCUUGUCUCAAAGAUUAAGCCAUGCAUGUCUAAGUAUAAACAACUUUAUACUGUAAAACUGCGAACGGCUCAUUAUAUCAGCAAUAAUUUAUUUGAUGAUUUCUUACUACAUGGAUAACUGUAGUAAUUCUAGAGCUAAUACAUGCGCAAAGUCCUAACUCGCGAGGGGAGGGAUGUAUUUAUUAGAUACAAAACCAAUGCGGGUUCUGCUCGCCAUUGUGUUGAAUCAUAGUAACUUAUCGGACGCCAUAGCCUUGUGCUGGGCGUAGAUCAUUCAAAUUUCUGCCCUAUCAGCUUUCGACGGUAGUGUAGUGGACUACCGUGGCGUUAACGGGUAACGGGGAAUA